Molecule: long non-coding RNA, 224 nt
Organism: Melitaea cinxia (Glanville fritillary)
Lineage: Eukaryota; Metazoa; Arthropoda; Insecta; Lepidoptera; Nymphalidae
Exons: 2
Source: RefSeq, a predicted model, not a curated record
UCGCUUGCGUUAGCUUUGGUUAACACACGUGUCAGAGAGAUUUUUGGUGUUUUUAUUUGUGUUUUUCAGUUUGUUUUGUAAAUUUUAUAGUGAAAAUAGUUGGUAUUUGGUUAUAAUAGUUUAUAUUAACAUUGACAAGGUUGGGUGAAGAGAUAUUUUAUGUCAUACUAACAACUACUAUUUUCAAUAUACUUUUUAAGUAAACUAACGAAGGUUGUAAUAUC